Molecule: long non-coding RNA, 1220 nt
Filed under: Anas platyrhynchos platyrhynchos (common mallard)
Lineage: Eukaryota; Metazoa; Chordata; Aves; Anseriformes; Anatidae
Description: lncRNA (ENSAPLG00000021632.1)
Source: RNAcentral
CUUUUUUUUUUUUUCCAGUGUUUUUUGCAAUAUCUGGUUUAGUUUUAGUAAAUCAAUUAUUAUGCCAGACAUUUCAACUGUAGCCUAGCAAUGUCGAACAAAACAAAAGCAGUUUCAGCUUUUGUUAAAAAAAAAAAAAAAAAAAAAAAAAAAGUUUAAUUUUACUAUCAGGGUUGGCAGAUCAGGAAGAAUAUAAGAGGCAAGAUGAUUUGCCGAAUUCUGUAAAACAAAACUCACCAACAUACAAAGUUUACCACUUCUUUUAUUCUGCUGCACACUUCUAUUUUUUGUAUAUGUGUUCCUUGGCAAUCUUAAAAUGUUAGUUACUGUCACUUACCUGUUUAUUGUAUUCCAACAUAUUUUUUGUGUGUAGGUAUUUGUUCUUUCAAUUAUGCAGUGACUAUACUUUGUGAAGAAUUGGAUGCUGCAUUGCAGGCAAAAACAUUUGAAAUUAAAAACCAGACUAAAAUUGUAAGAUUAUUAGUAACAACUAUAGCACAUUUCCAGCUGUGUAUAGUUACACACAUACGCUUCAUGCUUCAUUACAUAACAGUGUGCAUAAUAUACACAGCUGAAUGAAAUUAUUCAAAGGAACAAGUAAAACAGAUGCCAGUCUUUCUUUUCAGCUCACCUUGCAACAGGCUGCUCUGACACUCCUCUCCACUCCCAUCAGCUACUGUGCUGAAUAUAUUUCACGUUGCACCUGCUGGUGCCUGUUGCUUAGGAGCCAUGAAAUUCCACAUAAACUCAGUUUUUUAACAGAAACAUGAAAUCCAGAGGAAAUAAAGCUGAGAAAGAGGUCUACAGAAUAAAUUCUCCAGAACAAUAUCAGAUAACCUCUCUGAACCAUCAGGAAGCCUGGCUGCUAGAAACAGGACUGCAGGGGGUGAAGAAGUCUCACUGCUCUGGAUGUUCUUCUGGGAAGUCUCUCUCAGACAGCAUAAGGAGUGUGCACCUGCAACCCAGCUUCAUGGGCCAUUGAGUCACUUUCCCCUGGCAGAGAAAGGAUUCCGGUGUAGGGCUGGUGGUUCAUAAACGUGCUCCCCAGAAGCUGCAGAAUCACCACAACUUGUUUUCUGUCCUAUUUCCCUACUAUCAUAAAUGCAGAGACUAGUGCUGUUGUGCUCUGCCAACAAGAUAGGUGAGAUGAAGUUAGGCAGGAGUCCUGGGUGCACAUGUGGAGGAGGAGAUAAACAAUUCCACACUGUUAUGACUUGUGC